RNAcentral lists this unclassified non-coding RNA (878 nucleotides) under Hevea brasiliensis (rubber tree). Lineage: Eukaryota; Viridiplantae; Streptophyta; Magnoliopsida; Malpighiales; Euphorbiaceae. The record is from RNAcentral.
AACCACUGUCCAGUGUCCUCCUCUUCAGUCCCCACUGGCCAGAGCUGAAAUUGUUGAUUCCUCAUUAGAUAUCCUCUCCAGUUUCCAAUUAAGACAUAACACUGUCAUGGAAGAAGCAAUAUCAGCCCAGGAUCCACCAACCCAAGACCCGAACCUAGACUCAAACCCAGUAGACACAGACCCAGCUCCCCCUUCACAUACACCACCACCGCCAGCACCACCGGCGACGGCAGCUGCAGCACCACCGGUGACAGCGGCUGCAGCAUCAACACCACCACCUCCUCCUCCAGUAACUGCUUGUCUCCCUCCCAAAGACAAGAAAAGACCGCUUGAAUUUGAAGGUUAUGUCCAAAUCCAAGACUGCAGCUACUUCAAGAUGCGUGCUGUUCUCAAAGAUAUUCGUCCCCAUUUACUCCAGGUGCUUCAAACAGUGGAUUUUCGGAGUUGCAAAGGAGCUGAUGAACUUCGAGAGAGGUUAAAGCUACUAAUGGAACUUUACAAACAGAUGACUGCUGAAGCAGUCGCCACAACAAAGCCUAAGAAUGCACUUGAAGGGCAGCUCUUGUCAAGUGAAAAUGGGGCUGUGCAAAAACCCCAGGAACAGCUUCAAGAACUUAAGCCAGCAAAUAAGCCUCAAUCUGAUCGACUUCUUGCAAAACCACCUGAAAGUAAUGAGGCUAUAUAUCUUGAGGAGCAAUCAUAUUUUAUAGGUGGAUCUGCUUUUGGCUGGAAUUUUAUUACUUUUUCAGGUAAUAAACCUGUCUACUAUGGGAGAACAAAGGAAUCAUUCCGGGCUGCUCGAGUGGCUUUGUAGGGUAUCAAUGUUUGUUGUUACUUGUUAGUUGAAGGAAAAUAACAAUAGAAUGCUUUGAACCUCC